Molecule: long non-coding RNA, 808 nt
Filed under: Apteryx owenii (little spotted kiwi)
Lineage: Eukaryota; Metazoa; Chordata; Aves; Apterygiformes; Apterygidae
Description: lncRNA (ENSAOWG00000006857.1)
Source: RNAcentral
CCGGCGCCGGGGCGCGCGGCAGCAGCCGUUGGGGUCCCGCGCGCGAGCGCCCGCCCCCAACAGCCGCCUCUGAGGGACCCCAACGGUCCCCGCCCACCUCAUCCGCAGGGGAGGGCCGGAGCUGUCACGCCCGCGGGCCUCCUCUGUGCGCUCUUCAUCAAACACCGGGGAGCUCCGAGCGGGAGGUGUCGCGGGAAAGCAGCGCCCUCCCUCUGGGCUGCCUCCGUCGCCAGCCCCAGCCCCGCAGGUAGGGCACCGGCACCCCGGUGGAGUGAAGCGCCCGCCGCCCGCGCCCCUGCGGGUUACCGGUGCCAAGUACUGCGGCGGGGUGGGUGCUGCUGCUCUGCACCCAGCGCCGCUCGCUGCUCAGCGCCAGCCCCCGAGGAAGCACCUUGCAGCCAAGAAAACGAAGUGUGGCGAGGGAUCACUUAUGAAUAUAUUGAAGAGACCAGAUCUCCCAUUGCUGAGCCUAUGUCAGUGAAUACUGAGACUUUCUUACCUGAUAGGCCUCAGGCUGAAUAACGCUUAGGUGGAUGCAAGGAUCCUAAGUGUGCUGUGAAAUCCUGAAGACAGAAUGUUGAAAACCAAACACAGAAAGAUGGAAGUAUUUGCAGGAGGCAACUUUGUCAGCAUGACUUAUAAUGAGCUCCUGGGUGUAAAGAAAUACAUUCUUGGGUCAUGGCUUGUCAGUCAUCUGGUCACAGUGACCAGUGGCAUGAGUACAAAAGGAAAAUUGGAUUCAUCAGCAUGAAUUCAACCUCCAGUCUCCUAAAAUAAAUUAUUGUGUAGAAAGGCUGCUAAACUCCUC